Hylaeus volcanicus is the source of this 3230-nucleotide RNA transcript. RefSeq lists it as uncharacterized. NCBI's taxonomy places the organism in Eukaryota, Metazoa, Arthropoda, Insecta, Hymenoptera, Colletidae. The record is from RefSeq and is a predicted model, not a curated record. The transcript has 5 exons.
AACCUAGUUCGUUUACCAAAUUAUUAUAACAAUAAAGCAGUCCUACCUUUUUUUUUUAAAUAAUACUUACAUUAUGGGUAAUAAGCAAUCCUUAAAAACUCGUCCAUAUUCACAAAAACAAUUCAUUACUCAAGCGCAUAUGGAUUGGAUGCAUCAAAUGCAGAACUUGUUUCUUGAGAAGCCUACUAUGACUAAAACUGUGAUACUUCCUCCUGGAGUUCAUUUAGACGAUGAAAGAAUUAAUGAUGGAGUUGUAGUAGCUGAAAGAAAGUACUCUUUGCCUUUAGGAAAAUACCCUGAGUGGCCUGAAUCAAUACCUUUUGAAUGUGAUGUUGACAAACUUCUUCUACCACCUUGUCAAGGACAAGAACACAUGGAAACACAUUAUGCAGUGUAUCCGAACGAAUAUUUCCCUGAAGUUAGCUGCGCUUAUUGUAAUGCUAACGUUAAUUUAUGCAGAAGAACAUCUGAAAAAAAAAAAUCGCCUUCACCAACUGGUGAAGAUGAAUCUAUUAACGAUGAGAAAGAGAGUACAUAUUUUCUCCAUAGUAGUGAUUCCGUACAUUCAAAAACGUUAAGCAAAUCAAAUCAGUAUGAAUCCAAUCCUUUAGAACUCGAUAAGCGAAUUGAAAUAGCUUCAACCUCAUAGUUUUCUUAGAAACCUUGUACUUUAUUUGUCACAAGAAACAAUUCAUUGAAGACUACACACCUUAUAUAAACUAUUAUGGAUAUACUAUGUUAGAAGAAUACGUCUGAAAACUGUCAUACAUAAAGCAAAUUUUUCAUUAAGAAAAUUCAUGAAAAUAGUUGAUAGUAUGAAUCUAUAAUUUUGUGCUUUUCUGUUUGUCUUAAAAUGAUACCAACAAUAAAGCUAACGAAUAGUAUUGCUGUGUAAUCUUUAUUGAUUUUUUGUCACCAUUCGAUUUCAAAUAGUUUUACCAUUCAUCAUGUAUUUGAAAAAAACACCAACAUAUUAAUUUUUCCUUCAAUAGAAGAAAAAAAAAAGAAAAGUUGAAACAAACAAAACCGAUAAUAAUGUUUUUUUUUUUUGAUUGGAGUAGAUAUGAAAAAUUUAUUAUAUUUUAAAAAACAUGUUAACAUUUGUGACGUAUAUUUUAACUUGAUAAGAAAAAGGUAAACACUUAUAAAAAAGUAGAAAACGAGUCAUUCUAUCGAGUCGUUUUAUAUAAAAAAAAGCAGCAUCAGACGUCGGAGACAAUCAAAAUAACAAAACGGAGGAUAACGUUGUACUCAAAAGGAGGUUUCUUUAGAAAAAAGUUAAAAUCUUUUCAGAUGUCAAAUCGUUUAUUCUUGAAACUCUUAUUUAGAACAAAUUAAUUUUUUAUCCUAAGCACCCACUCAAUUUUGUAUGCACAUAGAAAUAAAAUAAAGUUAAAUCAAGUAUGUAGAUAGAUAGUAUACUUGUGUAUUUAAAUUUAAAUUAGUACAUUAAUAUUGGCAUGCGGUAGCUGUCGGGAGUUGAUGUGAACACAAAGUCACAAUGAAAUGUUUUACUUGUAGUUUAGUUAUUAUUUUAUGCAAAUAAGAAUUUUUGUUUUUUCAAACUCUUGGAAAAUGAAUAAAUAUUGUGAAAAACGUUAUGAAAAAAAAUCGACCGUUUCAUACACAGCUUCUGUUUUAAAUUUUGUUUCUUUUGUUGAAUGUCAAUUUUUUCCUUGUAAUGUUGUCAUAGUACAAAUCUGUGCUUUAUUUCAAUCGCAGUUAAAGAGUUACUACAGUAUGCCGACAUUCUUCAUCAAGACGUUGUUACUUUUUCUAGAAAGCUUGGCAUAUUGUGGAACACUGGUACACCAUGAAAACAUUUUGUUAAUGAGAGAAAAUGUUUUAUUUUUUUCAGGUCAAUGUAUAUGUUAUGCUACCUUGCGCUAUUUUCACAAUACUGUUUCAUUUUCGAAGCCAUAGACGGAUGGAUGUCGCUUUUGUAGGAUUUUUAGGGAUGAUAUGUUUAACUUUAACUCAUUUUAGUGUUCAUCAGUACCCGCAAUUGCUUAGCAACAAGUGGUUAUUUUUUGACUUGGAUUCCUCUGUAGUUUUCUCACUUAAUUUUAUGGGAACGGUUCUUGUAGUCCUUUCAAAUAGCUUGAAUAGAAAAAUUCAUGUUACAACUUUAUCUAAUAAUAACCAGAAUGGUUUGUUGUGCACCGAAUGGGGAGAAACGGAUGCACUGUUAAAUUCAGAUUUCUAUGAUUUGGGUGAUAAUUCUUUGCAAAAAAAAUUUUUUUGGGGUAACGAAUGACUUCAAAGCUAGUUUCGACACUCGAGAUGAUUUGAAAUGAUAUUGAUUAAGUAGAACGGUUGCUGACAUAAUUUUUUUAUUGAAUCAAUAACAAAGUCGUGAAGCAGUAAAAAAUGAAUGUGGCAUGCGGAGAAAAUUUGAAGGAUAUUAUUAAAUGACAUGAAUUACUUAUGGUAGCAUUUCGCUUAAGCUUGAUCCUUAUACCCUGGAAUGCUCCGCAUGAUUAGACAGAAAUCUAAGGUUGUAAAUAAUUUUCUAAUGUAUUUCAAAUAAUGCUGAAAUAAGACUGCUUAACUAAUGAAAUUUCUAACAUUUUGAGUAUUAAGAAAAAACGUACUUGUCGUUUUUCCACACCGUUUCAUAUUGAAGAUAUCUCCGAAUAGGAUCUACACGUAAUCGUCUAUUGUCUUGCCUACUACUAAUAAGGACACCCCUAGUAGCGUAGGCUAAAUUUUUCCUCCUCUCUGACAGCUUGUUACUUAAUAUGGGGUGAAUGGUUAUGGUUGAAUAUGGAAUUUGACUCAAAUCAAGAAUAUCUUUUGAAAACGGUUUCGAGUUUUUGUCUGACAUAGUAAAUUAAAUUGAAUGUUAAGAAACAAAUGAUGCUAAAAGGUUACGUUGAUUUGAAAAGUGUAGUAGUUUUUGCGAAUCAAUGGAUGCAAUUAUUUUCUUCAUAAAAACAAAAAUUCAGCAUUAUUUUUUUUGAAAAACCGAAACGCCAUUAAUUUGGAAAAAAAAAAAAAAGAACUCACUGGGGUUUCAAUCGGAACCCAUUCUAAGGAACCGUCGGAUGUAUCAGAAGAGUAACGUUUCCGUGUUGUCGAUUUUUCUAAUACUAUCCGAAUCAUUCAAGCGACUGCACAAGCUAGUGUUUUGUGAAUUGAAAAACGACUCUGUUUUUGAAAUCGUUUGACUUAACUUUUGAUUUAAUAAUUCUAUUUCUUUCAUUGAUUUUAAAAAGUGAAACUAAGGC